Molecule: ribosomal RNA, 370 nt
Filed under: uncultured bacterium
Lineage: Bacteria
Description: bacterial SSU rRNA
Rfam family: Bacterial small subunit ribosomal RNA
Source: RNAcentral
CGCGGUGGAACGUGCCCUUCAGUUCGGAAUAACCCAGGGAAACUUGGGCUAAUACCGGAUACGUGCGAGAGCAGAAAGAUUUAUCGCUGAAGGAUCGGCCCGCGUCUGAUUAGCUAGUUGGUAGGGUAAUGGCCUACCAAGGCGACGAUCAGUAGCUGGUCUGAGAGGAUGAUCAGCCACAUUGGGACUGAGACACGGCCAAACUCCUACGGGAGGCAGCAGUGGGGAAUAUUGGACAAUGGGCGAAAGCCUGAUCCAGCAAUGCCGCGUGAGUGAUGAAGGCCUUAGGGUUGUAAAGCUCUUUUACCCGGGAUGAUAAUGACAGUACCGGGAGAAUAAGCCCCGGCUAACUCCGUGCCAGCCGCCGCGG